Podarcis lilfordi (Lilford's wall lizard) is the source of this 72-nucleotide non-coding RNA. NCBI's taxonomy places the organism in Eukaryota, Metazoa, Chordata, Lepidosauria, Squamata, Lacertidae. The record is from the annotation of a GenBank genome assembly.
GCUUGUGUCAGCUCAGUUGGUUAGAACAUUGUGCUGAUAACGCCAAGGUUGCAGGUUUGAUCCUCAUAUGCG